UUAUCUAAGGAACAUAAACGGGAGAUGUGCCGCUACCUGUACAACCAUCAGAACAGAGAUGGUGGAUGGGGCUUACACAUCGAGGGGCCGAGCACCAUGUUUGGUAGUGUCCUGUGCUAUGUCACUCUAAGGUUGCUUGGCGAAGGGGUUAAUGAUGGGGAAGGGGCCAUGGAGAGAGGACGUAGUUGGAUUCUGGACCAUGGUGGUGCUACUGCAAUAACAUCAUGGGGAAAAAUGUGGCUUUCAGUACUGGGAGCAUUUGAGUGGUCUGGCAAUAAUCCCCUGCCCCCUGAAAUAUGGCUUCUUCCGUAUAUUCUCCCCUUCCAUCCAGGGAGGAUGUGGUGUCACUGUCGGAUGGUCUAUUUGCCAAUGUCAUAUUUAUAUGGGAAGAGGUUUGUUGGCCCAAUCACACCAACAGUUUUAUCUUUGAGAAAGGAGAUAUUUACUGUCCCAUAUCAUGAAAUAGAUUGGAAUCAAGCACGCAACCAAUGUGCAAAGGAAGAUUUGUACUACCCAC
RNAcentral lists this unclassified non-coding RNA (517 nucleotides) under Hevea brasiliensis (rubber tree). The record is from RNAcentral. Lineage: Eukaryota; Viridiplantae; Streptophyta; Magnoliopsida; Malpighiales; Euphorbiaceae.